This is a non-coding RNA of Chiloscyllium plagiosum (whitespotted bambooshark), 567 nucleotides long. NCBI's taxonomy places the organism in Eukaryota, Metazoa, Chordata, Chondrichthyes, Orectolobiformes, Hemiscylliidae. The record is from the annotation of a RefSeq genome assembly.
ACUGAAUAUGUUUGAUAACUGAUGCACUUUAAUGGACUUCGAGAAAGUACAGCAAUAUAAUUUAGAUCUAUUGUUUCAAUCCAGUCAAUAUAUUUCUUUCAACUCCCAAUAUUAUUCCCUGCUAGACAGUUCCUCCCGGUACAUUAAUAGAUUGUAAGAUCUAUUGGACCCCUUCUUUCAGUGGCGCGUCAGUUGUGCAUAAUCGUUGCUACGAUGUACAACGGUCUUCUCAUUUUAUCAUUGAUAUUAGGUGAUAUUCGUUCAAAUUCGGUCACACAACCUCGGAUAGCACUAUCUGUGAUUGAAGGCGAUGAUGUGAUUGCAGACUGCAGCUACACAGCAGACCAUUCCAACCCUGAACUAUAUUGGUACAGGCAGUAUUCGAAUCAGGCUCUUGACUUCAUUUUAUAUCGGGAUAUCAGUCAAAAAGAGGAUGCAGAUUUUGUCAAUGGAAGAUUUGAGGCCAAUCAAACAAAUGAAGAAAAGAAGUUUCCUUUAAAAAUCACACGAUCAGAAAUACAGGACACUGCUGUAUAUUUCUGCGGUUUGAGAUACACAGUGGUUUAA